Molecule: ribosomal RNA, 850 nt
Filed under: uncultured bacterium
Lineage: Bacteria
Description: bacterial SSU rRNA
Rfam family: Bacterial small subunit ribosomal RNA
Source: RNAcentral
UGAAACUAGAUACAAGCGAGCGGCGGACGGGUGAGUAACACGUGGGUAACCUGCCCAAGAGACUGGGAUAACACCUGGAAACAGAUGCUAAUACCGGAUAACAACACUAGACGCAUGUCUAGAGUUUGAAAGAUGGUUCUGCUAUCACUCUUGGAUGGACCUGCGGUGCAUUAGCUAGUUGGUAAGGUAACGGCUUACCAAGGCAAUGAUGCAUAGCCGAGUUGAGAGACUGAUCGGCCACAUUGGGACUGAGACACGGCCCAAACUCCUACGGGAGGCAGCAGUAGGGAAUCUUCCACAAUGGACGAAAGUCUGAUGGAGCAACGCCGCGUGAGUGAAGAAGGGUUUCGGCUCGUAAAGCUCUGUUGGUAGUGAAGAAAGAUAGAGGUAGUAACUGGCCUUUAUUUGACGGUAAUUACUUAGAAAGUCACGGCUAACUACGUGCCGGCAGCCGCGGUAAUACGUAGGUGGCAAGCGUUGUCCGGAUUUAUUGGGCGUAAAGCGAGUGCAGGCGGUUCAAUAAGUCUGAUGUGAAAGCCUUCGGCUCAACCGGAGAAUUGCAUCAGAAACUGUUGAACUUGAGUGCAGAAGAGGAGAGUGGAACUCCAUGUGUAGCGGUGGAAUGCGUAGAUAUAUGGAAGAACACCAGUGGCGAAGGCGGCUCUCUGGUCUGCAACUGACGCUGAGGCUCGAAAGCAUGGGUAGCGAACAGGAUUAGAUACCCUGGUAGUCCAUGCCGUAAACGAUGAGUGCUAAGUGUUGGGAGGUUUCCGCCUCUCAGUGCUGCAGCUAACGCAUUAAGCACUCCGCCUGGGGAGUACGACCGCAAGGGUUGAAACUCAAAGGAAUU